UACGAAGGGGGCUAGCGUUGCUCGGAAUGACUGGGCGUAAAGGGUGCGUAGGCGGCGCGGUAAGUCGGGUGUGAAAUCUCGGAGCUUAACUCCGAAACUGCAUUCGAUACUGCCGUGCUUGAGGACUGGAGAGGAGACUGGAAUUUACGGUGUAGCGGUGAAAUGCGUAGAUAUCGUAAGGAAGACCAGUGGCGAAGGCGGGUCUCUGGACAGUUCCUGACGCUGAGGCACGAAGGUCAGGGGAGCAAACGGG
This 253-nucleotide ribosomal RNA is filed under the name uncultured bacterium. Its description in RNAcentral is "partial 16S ribosomal RNA". It matches the Rfam family "Bacterial small subunit ribosomal RNA", at positions 524 to 776 of the family's 1533-position model. The record is from RNAcentral.